This 91-nucleotide transfer RNA is filed under the name Acinetobacter baumannii. RNAcentral's name for it is "tRNA-Ile". It matches the Rfam family "tRNA". From Rfam's summary of the family: Transfer RNA (tRNA) molecules are approximately 80 nucleotides in length. Their secondary structure includes four short double-helical elements and three loops (D, anti-codon, and T loops). Further hydrogen bonds mediate the characteristic L-shaped molecular structure. tRNAs have two regions of fundamental functional importance: the anti-codon, which is responsible for specific mRNA codon recognition, and the 3' end, to which the tRNAs corresponding amino acid is attached (by aminoacyl-tRNA synthetases). tRNAs cope with the degeneracy of the genetic code in two manners: having more than one tRNA (with a specific anti-codon) for a particular amino acid; and 'wobble' base-pairing, i.e. permitting non-standard base-pairing at the 3rd anti-codon position. The record is from RNAcentral. Lineage: Bacteria; Pseudomonadati; Pseudomonadota; Gammaproteobacteria; Moraxellales; Moraxellaceae. RNAcentral also lists the same sequence under 1 other name.
GGUUCUGUAGCUCAAUGGUAGAGCAGCGAGCUUAUACCUCGUAACGACAGAUAAUCGGCUGAUACUGGUUCGAGUCCAGUCAGAACCACCA